ACCCCAGUUCCACGUGUGCAUUUGAAAAAGUCAAAUAAAAGUAUUUUAUGAAAAUAAACUAUAUAGGCAUGAUUCCAGUCACACAAUGAGCUAAAUAUAACUGAAUUCUGAAUGCUUUAAAGGCUGUUUUAUUGCUUCGAAUAGAUUACCAGUUUUGUUGCUAAUUGCAGUUAUCAGCUUGACAGAAAGGCUGCGUUUCAAAUGAACUUUCUAUGAUAACCUACUAUUUAUUUAACCAACUAAAUGUUUAAGGGGGACUUCUAAGGAUUUCAGUAAAGGCAAAUAAGGUUUAAUAAAAAAUAAAUGAACCAUUUGAAUAUCUUUGUUGUAUUUGUCCUUUUAUAUACUGUAUAUCUUUGAGACUUUGCAUCAUGGCUGUCGUAUAUGUCUAAAUACAUCCUAAAAUGUGUCAAAUGAAAUGUUCCCAUGGUUUGAUUUAUUUUGUCUUCCUUAAUAUCCAUAUUGACUGACAGGGAGCUAAAUGCACGUGAGGCUCUGUGUGAGCGUGUCUGGGUGCAAGGGUCUGUGUUUUCUCUGUUUGAGUUCAUGUACCCAGUUCUUUGCUCUGCUGCUGAGCUUUGAUCUUUUCAGACUCUAUGGCAACCUAGUUACCUAAUAGGGACCGUAGCCAUAGCAACACAAGUAUGUGAUCUGCUUUCAAGGGCAGCCCAUUUCUCCCAUAACUCCCUGCUGCCUGGUUACAUUUGUAUGUGCUAUUUGGGUCUGCGAUUCAUCAGACACGUUCACACAUCAGAACACAAAGUUCUUCACAUAAUUAUCACUGAUGCUAUUCUAUGUCAGCAACGGUAUAAUUACAGUCUGUUGCAUCUGCCUACAUAGAUCUAAUGCUGUUCACGAGGAACAUAAACAAAACUAGUCCCUGUGGGUAAUUGGGGUAUUUAUAUCGAUAAUUACCUCGCCAGUAAUUACAUACCUGUGUUUAUGUGUGUGUAUGAAAUCUCAACCUGGGUUAUUCACCUUCUCCAGUUGUGGUUAUCAUAAAUUACCAUCUACACACCCUGACACACAAGCGACUGAACACCUGUAAAAUUCUGGAGGAUGGCCUGAGUUGAGGUAAGGAGACAAAUAGUAACACUUCUGACUGCAGAGCACUGCACCAAUGGGGUUUAACCUGCAGGAACAGCAAAGCCUCUAUGGCAGCACUGACAGUGCCCAACCAAGCUUGGGAGUCAUUAUGAAGAGUUAAUAAAAUGUAAAAAAAAAAAAAAAUGACUGCUUUUAUUGCCACUUAAUGGAGUAGCAUUUUAGAGUUCAAGUAAUAAAUAUAAAUCUAUUUCCAAACUGUGUGUGUGUACCUGGUACCAAACAAUUAUAGUAAUACCAGUAAUUUAGUCAUUUUUAACCUUGUGGGACAAUUUUUUUUUUGGUCCCCAUGAGAAAAACCACUUAUUCACAACAACUUUUUUUGGAGGGGGGUCUAAAAAUGCUUUCUGUGAGGGGUAUGGUUAGGGUUAGAGAACAGAAUAUGCAGUUUGUACAGAAUAAAAUAUAUAAUAUUUUCACAUCUCAUAAAAUGUGAGCAUGAAACCAGUGUGGGUGUGUGUGUGCACACAUAUGGAGGUUUUCAUAUGAAAGAAAAUUUAUACUUUUAUUCAUCAUGGUUGAAAUUCAUUGGUUUAAAACUGACAGUAAAGACUUCUAUCACAACAAAAA
Carassius carassius (crucian carp) is the source of this 1674-nucleotide long non-coding RNA. RefSeq lists it as uncharacterized. The record is from RefSeq and is a predicted model, not a curated record. The transcript is spliced from 2 exons. NCBI's taxonomy places the organism in Eukaryota, Metazoa, Chordata, Actinopteri, Cypriniformes, Cyprinidae.